CGGUAGCUCAGUUGGACAGAGCGAUGGUUUCCUAAACCGUAGGUCGCAGGUUCGAACCCUGUCCG
Molecule: transfer RNA, 65 nt
Filed under: bovine gut metagenome
Rfam family: tRNA
About the family: Transfer RNA (tRNA) molecules are approximately 80 nucleotides in length. Their secondary structure includes four short double-helical elements and three loops (D, anti-codon, and T loops). Further hydrogen bonds mediate the characteristic L-shaped molecular structure. tRNAs have two regions of fundamental functional importance: the anti-codon, which is responsible for specific mRNA codon recognition, and the 3' end, to which the tRNAs corresponding amino acid is attached (by aminoacyl-tRNA synthetases). tRNAs cope with the degeneracy of the genetic code in two manners: having more than one tRNA (with a specific anti-codon) for a particular amino acid; and 'wobble' base-pairing, i.e. permitting non-standard base-pairing at the 3rd anti-codon position.
Source: RNAcentral